Molecule: ribosomal RNA, 301 nt
Filed under: uncultured bacterium
Lineage: Bacteria
Description: partial 16S ribosomal RNA
Rfam family: Bacterial small subunit ribosomal RNA
Source: RNAcentral
CAGUCGCCACGGGAAUACAGAGGGUGCAAGCGUUAAUCGGAAUUACUGGGCGUAAAGCGCGCGUAGGUGGUUUGUUAAGUUGGAUGUGAAAGCCCCGGGCUCAACCUGGGAACUGCAUCCAAAACUGGUAAGCUAGAGUACGGUAGAGGGUGGUGGAAUUUCCUGUGUAGCGGUGAAAUGCGUAGAUAUAGGAAGGAACACCAGUGGCGAAGGCGACCACCUUGACUGAUACUGACACUGAGGUGCGAAAGCGUGGGGAGCAAACAGGAUUAGAGACCCCGGUAGUCCCUGUCUCUUAUAC